Lontra canadensis (Northern American river otter) is the source of this 338-nucleotide long non-coding RNA. RefSeq lists it as uncharacterized. The transcript is spliced from 3 exons. Lineage: Eukaryota; Metazoa; Chordata; Mammalia; Carnivora; Mustelidae. The record is from RefSeq and is a predicted model, not a curated record.
GGCUCCUUCUGGUUUAGAAGUGUACCAUUCCUAGUUCUUCUAAGAUUUUUGAAUUUGCAUAUACAUUUAUUUUGGGCACUAAGCACCUCGUGAAGGCCCCAGCCUCAAGACCUCAUCUAAACCUAGUUACCUCCCAAAGGCCUUAUUUCCAAAACUCAUAAUAUUUGGGGGGUUGCUUAUUUUGGAAGAGAAGAGUGAUAAAGGUUAUGAAAUUAGCAAACAGCUUAGCCAUCAAACAGAUAAAUGCAGGACAACACAGAUGAUGUCAAAAUUAGUAAGAUGAGGUUCAAAUAAAUUCCACUGAGUAUAACAUAGAGAAUUUGGGGAUCUAUUACAUU